Molecule: non-coding RNA, 723 nt
Organism: Erythranthe guttata (spotted monkey flower)
Lineage: Eukaryota; Viridiplantae; Streptophyta; Magnoliopsida; Lamiales; Phrymaceae
Source: RefSeq, a predicted model, not a curated record
AAAUACGAGAUGCGGGGUUUCGAUUGUUUCUUCGAAGUUGGGGAAUUGUUGCGCUUUUUUAUGAAGGGUAAGGGGGCAAAGUGAGGGCUGCCUGAGCUGCACGACCAUGAUUUUUGCUUCAUCCCGAAUCUGAUGGCGGCGCCGCCAGCCGGCACGGCGGAGAUGUACGGUACUCGAUGUCGGUGGCGGUGGCGCGGAUUGGGGGUUGUCGGUUUUCCGGUGUUCAAGUCAACAUGAAAACUGGACCCUGGGCACAAUGAUAUGCUGAAACCAGAGCCGACAUAUAAUUGCAUCUAGCACCCUUAGAGUUAUGCGUAAUUACAAUUCGACCCAAUCAGAUUUAGAAAUUUACACUAGCGCCCCUAUUAUAUUAUAUUGCCAGCCCUGGCCCACACCUAAUCUCACGCCAGGUUUCCGUCAAGUUAAUAUAGAGGUUUCCGUCGCCGUUUUUUCCUUCCUGUGAAGCCCCGCCGCAAAGCAGAUACCGGUCACCGAAAACCCUACUCCGGUACACAGCUCCGGCGAACGAGAUCGUACUUAUUUAUUUUUCUAACAAUUAUUUGUAAUUGGUCUAAUUAGCCAUGCCUUCAAUGGCUUCGAAUAAUUCCGCACACACUGCGAAGAGGAAAUUCAAUCAACUCAAUGGACCUACUAAACCCGACUUCGUCGCCAGGAGGCAAAAGCUUGAGCAGCACAGAAAAGCUCUACCAAUUGCUCCGGGUG